UACGUAGGGUGCGAGCGUUGUCCGGAAUUAUUGGGCGUAAAGAGCUUGUAGGCGGUUUGUCGCGUCUGCUGUGAAAAUCCGGGGCUCAACCCCGGACUUGCAGUGGGUACGGGCAGACUAGAGUGUGGUAGGGGAGACUGGAAUUCCUGGUGUAGCGGUGGAAUGCGCAGAUAUCAGGAGGAACACCGAUGGCGAAGGCAGGGCUCUGGGCCGCUACUGACGCUGAGAAGCGAAAGCAUGGGGAGCGAACAGG
This 253-nucleotide ribosomal RNA is filed under the name uncultured bacterium. RNAcentral's name for it is "partial 16S ribosomal RNA". It matches the Rfam family "Bacterial small subunit ribosomal RNA", at positions 524 to 776 of the family's 1533-position model. The record is from RNAcentral.